Molecule: ribosomal RNA, 254 nt
Filed under: uncultured bacterium
Lineage: Bacteria
Description: partial 16S ribosomal RNA
Rfam family: Bacterial small subunit ribosomal RNA
Source: RNAcentral
UACGUAGGGUGCAAGCGUUGUCCGGAAUUAUUGGGCGUAAAGAGCUCGUAGGCGGUUUGUCGCGCCUGCUGUGAAAACUCGGGGCUUAACCCCGGGCCUGCAGUGGGUACGGGCAGACUAGAGUGCGGUAGGGGAGACUGGAAUUCCUGGUGUAGCGGUGAAAUGCGCAGAUAUCAGGAAGAACACCGGUGGCGAAGGCGGCCUGCGUGGGCAGUGGCUGACGCUGAGGCGCGACAGCGUGGGGAGCAAACAGG